GAUGAACGCUGGCGGCGUGCUUAAUACAUGCAAGUCGAACGAGAGUACCUUGUAGCAAUACGGGGCGCUCUAGUGGCGAAUGGGUGCGUAACACGUAGGUGACCUGCCCCGAAGUGUGGAAUAACAGUUCGAAAGGACUGCUAAUACCGCAUGUGGUCCUGGAGGUUAGAGGCUCCGGUCUAAAGCUGCUCGCAAGAGUGGCGCUUCGGGAGGGGCCUGCGGCCCAUCAGGUAGUUGGUAGGGUAACGGCCUACCAAGCCAUCGACGGGUAGGGGAUCUGAGA
Molecule: ribosomal RNA, 283 nt
Filed under: uncultured bacterium
Lineage: Bacteria
Description: partial 16S ribosomal RNA
Rfam family: Bacterial small subunit ribosomal RNA
Source: RNAcentral